GCUCACUUCAGGAGCACAUAUUAUAAAAUAGAAACGAUAUAGAGACUAGCAUGGCUCCUGCCUAAGGACGACAUGCAAAUUUGUGAAAUGUUGUAUUUUUAA
Stegostoma tigrinum is the source of this 102-nucleotide small nuclear RNA. The record is from RefSeq and is a predicted model, not a curated record. NCBI's taxonomy places the organism in Eukaryota, Metazoa, Chordata, Chondrichthyes, Orectolobiformes, Stegostomatidae.